Molecule: long non-coding RNA, 2434 nt
Organism: Gadus morhua (Atlantic cod)
Lineage: Eukaryota; Metazoa; Chordata; Actinopteri; Gadiformes; Gadidae
Source: Ensembl
GGUGGUCAGGGAGGGGAUUCUUUCACCUGUUCGCCAGGACAGCAGGGUCCACCCGGACCUCAGGUGAGGGGACGCCAGGGGCAGGCCGUGUGCAUCUUGUGCCGUGUUCCUAUUGGUUCACUCUGCCCGAUACACUGCACUAUUUGGGCCAUCACUAUUUUGUACUUGCUGUUCAAAAUUUGAGUGUACAAUUCCGGUUUGCUAUAUAGUGCACAACUAAAUACACAUAAUGCACAUAAUGCACUGUAAAAAAAUAAAGCACUUAUUUCCACAAUGUAUAUCCCAUGAUGCAUAGCGCUUUUCAUCUUCAUCUGAAUCAUGUUGUAGGCAGAGGGACAUUGGUGCUUCUUUGACUUCUGUUCUUGGUUAAUCAAAUUGGGUCUGGGAUUAAUAAAGUUCCUCCUGUAUUAUUUCUAGUGUUGUUUCUCUCUGUGAUCUUACUGAUUGUCUACCGUGUUGUGGUUUUAGGGUCCUGCUGGUAUCGGUGGUCUGCCUGUAAGUAAUACAGCCCCUCAAAGCCAGGGAUCUUCUCGAUGUCUUCUGUUGUUUUGAUACACUGAUUGUCCCUCCAUGAAUGUUACUAUUGCAUCCUUUUAAACAUCCUUAGAUUAUAAUAAAACAUUUUUUUCUACAUUCUCCUCAUCUUCUCUCUCUUAUACUCCCCUUCCAUUCAAAAUUCACCACUCCGACCUCUCCCCCUCCUCCCUCUAUUCUCCUCCUCCUACAUCCUCCUCCUCAUCUCCUCUCUCUACUAUUCCCCUUCCUCUUCUUAAUUUUCUCUACCUCCUCCUCCUCCCCCUCUCCUCCUCCCCAAAACUCCUCUUCCUCGCUCCUCCUCCUCUUCCUGCUCUCCAUUCUCCUCCUAUCUCUCCUCUCUCACCCCUUCCUCCUCCCUAUCCUCCUCCCCCUCUCCCUCCUCUCUCUCCUCCUCUACCUCUUCCUCCUCCCCCUCCUCCUCCUCCUCCCCCUACUCCUCCUCCUCUCUCCUCCUUCUCCGCCUCUCCUUCUCCUCCCCCUCGCUCUCCUCUCUCUCCUCCUCCUCCUCCUCCUCCUCCUCCCCCCUUCCUUCUCCUCCUCCUCCUCCAGGGGAGGGCUGGGUUCCCAGGUAUACCUGGAGAUAAAGGUGCUGAGGGGUCCAGAGGUCGUGAUGGGAUUCCUGGCCUCGACGGUCCACCAGGCAGACUGGGCGAUAAGGGAGAGAGUGGAGAAAGAGGAGAAAGGGGUCUCCCAGGGAGAGAGGGAGGGCCCCCUGGACCCCCCGGCACCCCCGGGGCCCCGGGACAGAUCCUCUACCAGCCGUCAAGUGACGUGAGUAACACAUUGAGAGACCCUUAGACAGCGAGGAGCUGUUAGUUCAAAUUGAACUUAACAAAGAUUGGUCUGAUCUCACUCUCACUCACUCCCUCCCUCAGCCACUCUCGCUCACUCGCUCACUCACUCACUCACUCACUCACUCACUCACUCACUCACUCACUCACUCACUCACUCACUCACUCACUCUCCCACCCACCCACCCUCACUCAUUCACUCACCCACUCUCAUUUAUUCACUCACCUAAACUCUCUCUCUCUCAGUUCCUCACCCACCCUCACUCUCACUAUCUCACUCACUCAACCACUCAUUCAAUCUCUCUCUGUCACCAACCCACACUCACUCAUUCAAUCAUCUAUUCUCUCUCCCUCACUCACCCAGUCCUAAAUCCACUCACUCUCCAACUCACUGCUUACCUUACUUAACCAUAAAUCCACUCACUGACUCACUCAGUAAUUGAAUGUUAACUUGCAUGUUGCCACCUGCUCACUAACUGGCCUAACUUUCUCCCGCCAUAGUAUAACGACAUAUUUUGGAACGAAGAUGAUGAGGUGAGCGAGCACACACUCGGUGUUCCUAUCAUGUUUUAAAGACUGGUUGGGCUGGCCAAGUGUUUGGCAGUGAAAGCAUAUUUUAAUAUCUAUCUCACUUUUUAUGCACCGGUACUAUACAUUCAAAUCAUGGAGAAUCAGAAUCAGAAUCACUUUGUUCUGUAGGCAUCUGUUCUUGAAUAAUGAGGAUUUGUUAGAUGUUUCACUAAUAGUUUUUAAUGUUCUUCUUGAAUGAUGAGGACUUAUGAGAUUUUUCCUAACAGUUCAUGUGUUCCUCUUGUUUAGGGAGGAGCUAGUUACCCAGGGCGACCAGGAUUCCCGGUACGUGUCGCCAUCUCCGCCAGUCAGAGAACAAUCAGAACAACAAUUUUUUGCAUUUUUACAGCAUGUGAUGUUUUUCACUUCAGGGGCCGAUCGGACCCAAGGGAGACCCCGGACAGCCAGGGAUCCCAGGAGAGGCGGCUAAGGUAGGCUCCUGACCUACUGUGUUUCUGAGCAGGGAUGAUCAUGUUCUAUAGCUUCAGCUUUGUUUGUUUUUUAUUAUUUGUUUUUUUGAGGACAUUAGAAGUGAA